AGAGUUUGAUCCUGGCUCAGAGCGAACGCUAGCGGCGGGCUUAACACAUGCAAGUCGAGCGGAGGGGCAACCCUUAGCGGCGAACGGGUGAGUAACGCGUAGGUAACGUGCCUUCAGGUGGGGAACAACCGUGGGAAACCAUGGCUAAUACCGCAUAAUGUCGAAAGAUGAAAGCCUUCGGGCGCCUGGAGAGCGGCCUGCGUCCCAUUACCUAGUUGGUAGGGUAACGGCCUACCAAGGGAACGAUGGGUAGCUGGUCUAAGAGAUGAUCAGCCACACUGGAACUGAGACACGGUCCAGACUCCUACGGGAGGCAGCAGUGGGGAAUAUUGCGCAAUGGGGGAAACCCUGACGCAGCCACGCCGCGUGAGUGAAGAAGGCCUUCGGGUCGUAAAGCUCUGUCGGGAGAGACGAAGGGGUAAAACUCUGACGGUAUCUCGCAAGAAAGCACCGGCUAACUCUGUGCCAGCAGCCGCGGUAAUACAGAGGGUGCAAGCGUUGCUCGGAUUUACUGGGCGUAAAGCGUACGCAGACGGACCGUCAAGUCGGGAGUGAAAGCCCUGGGCUCAACCCAGGAACGGCUUUCGAUACUAGCGGUCUUGAGUUUGGGAGAGGGAAGCGGAAUUCCUGGUGUAGAGGUGAAAUCCGUAGAUAUCAGGAGGAACACCGGCGGCGAAGGCGGCUUCCUGGCCCAAUACUGACGUUCAGGUACGAAAGCGUGGGUAGCAAACAGGAUUAGAUACCCUGGUAGUCCACGCUGUAAACGAUGAGUGCUGGAUGUCGGAGGUAUUCACCCCUUCGGUAUCGAAGCUAACGCGUUAAGCACUCCGCCUGGGGAGUACGGCCGCAAGGUUGAAACUCAAAGGAAUUGACGGGGGCCCGCACAAGCGGUGGAGUAUGUGGUUUAAUUCGACGACGCGCAGAACCUUACCCAGCCUUGACAUCCUUGGAACCGAGUGGAAACACUUGGGUGCUCUCGCAAGAGAGAGCCAGGAGACAGGUGCUGCAUGGCUGUCGUCAGCUCGUGUCGUGAGAUGUUCGGUUAAGUCCGGCAACGAGCGCAACCCCUGUCUUCAGUUGCCAUCAUUUAGUUGGGCACUCUGGAGAGACUGCCGGCGUCAAGCCGGAGGAAGGUGGGGAUGACGUCAAGUCCUCAUGGCCUUUAUGGUUAGGGCUACACACGUACUACAAUGAUGACUACAAAGGGCAGCCAACCCGCGAGGGGGAGCAAAUCCCAAAAAAGUCAUCUCAGUUCGGAUUGCAGUCUGCAACUCGACUGCAUGAAGUCGGAAUCGCUAGUAAUCGCGGAUCAGCAUGCCGCGGUGAAUACGUUCCCGGGCCU
RNAcentral lists this ribosomal RNA (1342 nucleotides) under metagenome. Its description in RNAcentral is "bacterial SSU rRNA". It matches the Rfam family "Bacterial small subunit ribosomal RNA", at positions 8 to 1381 of the family's 1533-position model. The record is from RNAcentral.